AGUGAACGCUGGCGGUAGGCCUAACACAUGCAAGUCGAACGGCAGCACAGUAAGAGCUUGCUCUUACGGGUGGCGGGUGGCGGACGGGUGAGGAAUACAUCGGAAUCUACUUUUUCGUGGGGGAUAACGUAGGGAAACUUACGCUAAUACCGCAUACGACCUACGGGUGAAAGCAGGGGAUCUUCGGACCUUGCGCGAUUGAAUGAGCCGAUGUCGGAUUAGCUAGUUGGCGGAGUAAGGGCCCACCAAGGCGACGAUCCGUAGCUGGUCUGAGAGGAUGAUCAGCCACACUGGAACUGAGACACGGUCCAGACUCCUACGGGAGGCAGCAGUGGGGAAUAUUGGACAAUGGGCGCAAGCCUGAUCCAGCCAUACCGCGUGGGUGAAGAAGGCCUUCGGGUUGUAAAGCCCUUUUGUUGGGAAAGAAAAGCAGCAGGUUAAUACCCCGCUGUUCUGACGGUACCCAAAGAAUAAGCACCGGCUAACUUCGUG
RNAcentral lists this ribosomal RNA (492 nucleotides) under uncultured bacterium. RNAcentral describes it as "partial 16S ribosomal RNA". It matches the Rfam family "Bacterial small subunit ribosomal RNA", at positions 29 to 507 of the family's 1533-position model. The record is from RNAcentral.